ACACCCUCAAGCUCUGCUUGGUGUUGGGCGUCUGUCCCGCUUCGUGCGUGGACUCGCCCCAAAGUCAUUGGCGGCGAUCGUGCCAGCUUCUCGCGCAGCAUACGCGCUCCGGAGGCAAGUCGAUCAGCAUCCACAAAGUACUUUCCACA
This 149-nucleotide unclassified non-coding RNA is filed under the name uncultured fungus. RNAcentral's name for it is "sequence contains ITS2". The record is from RNAcentral. RNAcentral also lists the same sequence under 3 other names. Lineage: Eukaryota; Fungi.